RNAcentral lists this long non-coding RNA (900 nucleotides) under Nicotiana benthamiana. Its description in RNAcentral is "long non-coding RNA (NBEN_LNC032111)". Lineage: Eukaryota; Viridiplantae; Streptophyta; Magnoliopsida; Solanales; Solanaceae. The record is from RNAcentral.
CAUACUUGAUAUUGAUUCUGGAAGUGGAAACUCCUUCAGUAGAUUUUUCCUUUCACAAUAGUUUUUACUAUAUUCAUAUGAACGUGUAAAUAAGCCACUAACUCUUCAGCUAAAGUACACUUCUCCCCAUGGAAGCAACCUUGCUAAGAAUAUAAAAUAUACUGGAUUAAGGUCUGAGAAUAUAGACGUUGCACGAACAGAACAGAUUACGUGGGCCCUGCAUAUACCAUAAUACAAAAUCAGCUCAAUACACAAAUCACAAGUUUAAACGGUCUAAAUGGAAAUAGGAACUUGUGCAUUCAUACAAUAAAAACACUGUUUUCUCUACUCCAGUUACUUAAUUUGCAGCCUGCUAUGCAUAUGUUCUUCAUUGCUCCUUUAGAUAUAUGCUCUUUCACUCCCAUAUUUGAUGCUAAAUAAAAUGUUAAAACUUUUCGGUGAAUAGUUAAAGGAAUUUUCGUCCAUUUUAGUGGUUACCUCUCGCAUAAAUAGGAAGAAUAUAAGGACCUAUCUAGAAACAAUAUAUUUUGUUCAAACAUAUAGCUUUCCUCAAGUUCAAGAGUUAAUAGAGGAACUUGCAAUUCCUUUUGGUAUAAAUAUAUGCCUCCUUCACCAAAUAAUUGACUAUGUGGACUACGUAGCACAAUGCACUAGCUACUUCUUAAAUUCAUGAAAUCUAAAUUCUUUAUUGCACCUCAAAAUGAUGUCUAAAAAGGGAAAUAAAAUGCAAAUUAAAGUAAAAAUGAGAUAAUUUAGGCAUAGUUGGUUCAAUAUUUGAAAGGAAGAUGAAACCAUAUUUACUACGCUGUUACUCUACUUUGGGUACCUGAAGCUGGAGCAGUCUCAUCACUUGCCUUUUUGAGGCCUUAAGAGAUUUUUAUGAUAGUGUUGCUCCACAUC